UCAAAUUUUAAAUUUUGUACAAUUUUGAAAUUUAAAAAUUUUAAUUUUAAUUCAAAUUUAAAUUUAGAUUUUAAAUUAUUUUAAAAUAAAAUUAAAUAAAAAUAUUAAUUUAUGCAAACAUCAAAAAAAAAAUUUGCCAAACAGCUUUUCAAAAUCACUUCAGAAAAAUCACUUUUAUCUAAACUCUGCCAAACGCUCUACAACUUUUAACCAAAAUCACUUCUUCAAACUAAAAUCACUUUUUCAGAAACUAUGCCAAACAGGCCCUUCCUCUGUUUCAAGAGGUUCUUAUAGUCGACGUCCAUCUCUAAAAGACAUCAAACAAUCAUUAUCUUAAAAGAUUUAAGCUGACGGAGGAUGAUAUUUUUUGAUUUUUUAGGAGGGUGACGGAG
This 392-nucleotide long non-coding RNA is filed under the name Ananas comosus (pineapple). RNAcentral's name for it is "long non-coding RNA (ACOM_LNC001651)". Lineage: Eukaryota; Viridiplantae; Streptophyta; Magnoliopsida; Poales; Bromeliaceae. The record is from RNAcentral.